Molecule: ribosomal RNA, 464 nt
Filed under: Vreelandella stevensii
Lineage: Bacteria; Pseudomonadati; Pseudomonadota; Gammaproteobacteria; Oceanospirillales; Halomonadaceae
Description: partial 16S ribosomal RNA
Rfam family: Bacterial small subunit ribosomal RNA
Source: RNAcentral
CUACGGGCGGCUGCAGUGGGGAAUAUUGGACAAUGGGCGAAAGCCUGAUCCAGCCAUGCCGCGUGUGUGAAGAAGGCCUUCGGGUUGUAAAGCACUUUCAGUGGGGAAGAAAGCCUUGGGGCUAAUACCCUCGAGGAAGGACAUCACCCACAGAAGAAGCACCGGCUAACUCCGUGCCAGCAGCCGCGGUAAUACGGAGGGUGCGAGCGUUAAUCGGAAUUACUGGGCGUAAAGCGCGCGUAGGCGGUCUGAUAAGUCGGUUGUGAAAGCCCCGGGCUCAACCUGGGAACGGCAUCCGGAACUGUCAGGCUAGAGUGCAGGAGAGGAAGGUAGAAUUCCCGGUGUAGCGGUGAAAUGCGUAGAGAUCGGGAGGAAUACCAGUGGCGAAGGCGGCCUUCUGGACUGACACUGACGCUGAGGUGCGAAAGCGUGGGUAGCAAACAGGAUUAGAUACCCGUGUAGUC